CAUAGCAAGUCAAAACGAAAUAAAUAUCACGUUAUAAUUUUCUAAGUAGUGAAUAAAAUAGAUACCAACUAGCUUCAACUCGACAUUUUAUAGUUACUUAUUUUACAAUAAAGUGUUUUAUGUUCAUCAGAUUUUUUAGUACAAACAUCGUAACAGAUUUCAGAUUAGUUAGUUACAUAGGGACAGCAAAAUAAAUGUUCAUGUCUCACAAACAUAAAUCACUCACUGGAGUAGAUUUACAAGAAAAAAUUAACCAAUUGCAUCAAGCAUAUAUGCCGAUGGAUUUGAGCUCUGUAUUUUAUCACAGCAAAGUAAAUGCUAUUAAGAAAUUAGAGUAUAUAUUACGUUACUCCAGUCGGACUGCGUUACAAGACGCGGAUUAUGAGGAACUAAUCUUGUGUGCCCUGACAUUGGUAUAUUUUUUUGGUAUGAGACUAAAAUUGCGUCAACUUACUUCACAUUAUGGUUACUGGUGCGGCAAACGUCAUUUCAAUAAAGCGGAGUCAGUUUUCCAGAUGACAAUGGACCAACUGCACCCAGAACGCAGCGAUGUUACUAUAAAAAUAACGUUGAAUUUCUUCACAACAGUUUCUUUGUGGCCCUUCGAAAGUUUUGUAGAGCAAAUAUUAGAAGUAGUACUCUACUAUAACAGAGGGAAAACUACGCUUUUUAACCUAAUGCUAACAGAUAUUCAUUGUGUUUUGUUUAAAGAUGUCAAGUCAGCCAGGCAUCGAAUGAGAGUUCUCUAUGAACUACUUAAAAGUACAAAUUGGAUAAUCGACAAACAGAAACUGCUGCCAUUUGUUACACGUUUACUCGACUUCUUUGCUUAUAGCAUAGCUAAAGGCGAUUCUAAGAUAUCAGCUUACGGUUAUCUACGAAAGGGUUUCGAAGUCUGCUUACGACGGAUUUUCGAAAGAGUGGAAAACCAACAUCGUCUAAUGAUCAUAACAACAAUGCUCAAUUGGUUUUCAAUGGUGAAUAUGAGUGAUGAUGAUGUUCUAGAAUUUUCCUCUUUACUAGAUCGAGCUGCCGAGCUGUAUAAAGUUGGGCAAUACACUGAGAGCUUUCGCGAAGGAGUUUUUGAACACGUUUUAGUAAAUUUGGUUGGAUCUACGAAUGCGCUGUACAGCAUUGUGGGAUGUCGUUUACUGCACAGAUUUUUAGACCGACAGAACAAUGCUGAGUACUUGACAGUGCCGUCUUUAUAUUAUGAGUUUUCACAGGUUCGACUUAAAGUAGGAUGUUAUGAUAGCUACGAUAAAACAUUUAUACGAAAUCAUCGAGACAAAUUCCACGAAUUCUUUUUAAAGGCGGUGAAGCUACAUUGUAACAAUAGCGAUUUACAACAUCGGCCGCCAUCAUGUAACGUGGAAUAAACCGACAUUAUUCUUCGAAGAUUGGGAGUUGCGAUACGGUCUUUGGAAACAUUUCAAAGAUGCACAGUUCCCCACGAAGAAACUUCAAAGCAAAUUAGGUAAAAAGGCGCCGUCUAUGGAUUUGCGAUAUUAAAUUAAUUAAAGUUGCAAGUAAAUUA
RNAcentral lists this unclassified non-coding RNA (1537 nucleotides) under Manduca sexta (tobacco hornworm). RNAcentral describes it as "protein EFR3 homolog A, transcript variant X1". Lineage: Eukaryota; Metazoa; Arthropoda; Insecta; Lepidoptera; Sphingidae. The record is from RNAcentral.